Molecule: ribosomal RNA, 253 nt
Filed under: uncultured bacterium
Lineage: Bacteria
Description: partial 16S ribosomal RNA
Rfam family: Bacterial small subunit ribosomal RNA
Source: RNAcentral
UACGUAGGAGGCGAGCGUUGUCCGGAAUUACUGGGCGUAAAGCGUGCGUAGGCGGUUUGUUAAGUCUGCUGUGAAAUCCCCGGGCUCAACCUGGGAAUGGCAGUGGAUACUGGCAAGCUAGAGUGUGUCAGAGGAUGGUGGAAUUCCCGGUGUAGCGGUGAAAUGCGUAGAGAUCGGGAGGAACAUCAGUGGCGAAGGCGGCCAUCUGGGACAACACUGACGCUGAGGCACGAAAGCGUGGGGAGCAAACAGG